ACUUGUUGCCGUUAGAAAGUUUAUGCUUUUCCGGUGCUUAACUUCUAUCUUUUCGUAGGCAUGUGCGUCACUGGAACCGGGCUAUCAACCCCCAGUUACAUUUGUUGUGGUCCAAAAGCGUAAUCAUACUAGAUUAUUUCCAAACAAUCACAACGACAAGAGUGGGAAUAUCUUACCCGGCACAGUGGUAGAUACUAAAAUAUGUCACCCAACCGAUUUUGAUUUCUUUCUAUGCAGUCAUGCUGGUAUUCAGGAAACCAGCAGACCAGCUCAUUACCAUGUUCUCUGGGACGAUAACAAAUUCUCAGCUGAUGAGAUACAAUCUCUAACGAACAAUUUCUAUUAUACGUAAGCAGACCCCCCAACUAAUAUUAGAAGCAAGGGAAACACUAGAAGAUUCUGGGCAGCAACUAUUUUUUUUUAUUUUUUUUUGU
This is a long non-coding RNA of Spinacia oleracea (spinach), 434 nucleotides long. RefSeq lists it as uncharacterized. Lineage: Eukaryota; Viridiplantae; Streptophyta; Magnoliopsida; Caryophyllales; Amaranthaceae. The transcript has 3 exons. The record is from RefSeq and is a predicted model, not a curated record.